AAGUUUUGGUGACUGCGCUCCUCUACUAGCCAGUUACCUAGGUUCAAAAGACCUGCAAGUUAUUUGAACCCUUGAAAAAACCGCCCUGCAAGGCGGUUUUUUCAU
RNAcentral lists this non-coding RNA (105 nucleotides) under Klebsiella pneumoniae. Lineage: Bacteria; Pseudomonadati; Pseudomonadota; Gammaproteobacteria; Enterobacterales; Enterobacteriaceae. The record is from RNAcentral.